Molecule: ribosomal RNA, 586 nt
Filed under: uncultured Methanosarcina sp.
Lineage: Archaea; Methanobacteriati; Methanobacteriota; Methanomicrobia; Methanosarcinales; Methanosarcinaceae
Description: bacterial SSU rRNA
Rfam family: Archaeal small subunit ribosomal RNA
Source: RNAcentral
CGGCCUAUCAGGUAGUAGUGGGUGUAAUGUACCUACUAGCCAACAACGGGUACGGGUUGUGAGAGCAAGAGCCCGGAGAUGGAUUCUGAGACAUGAAUCCAGGCCCUACGGGGCGCAGCAGGCGCGAAAACUUUACAAUGCGGGAAACCGUGAUAAGGGGACACCGAGUGCCAGCAUCAUACGCUGGCUGUCCAGGUGUGUAAAAUACACCUGUUAGCAAGGGCCGGGCAAGACCGGUGCCAGCCGCCGCGGUAACACCGGCGGCCCGAGUGGUGAUCGUGAUUAUUGGGUCUAAAGGGUCCGUAGCCGGUUUGGUCAGUCCUCCGGGAAAUCUGAUAGCUCAACUAUUAGGCUUUCGGGGGAUACUGCCAGGCUUGGAACCGGGAGAGGUAAGAGGUACUACAGGGGUAGGAGUGAAAUCUUGUAAUCCCUGUGGGACCACCUGUGGCGAAGGCGUCUUACCAGAACGGGUUCGACGGUGAGGGACGAAAGCUGGGGGCACGAACCGGAUUAGAUACCCGGGUAGUCCUGGCCGUAAACGAUGUGGACUUGGUGUUGGGAUGGCUCCGAGCUGCCCCAGUGCCGA